RNAcentral lists this ribosomal RNA (261 nucleotides) under uncultured prokaryote. Its description in RNAcentral is "partial 16S ribosomal RNA". It matches the Rfam family "Bacterial small subunit ribosomal RNA", at positions 524 to 784 of the family's 1533-position model. The record is from RNAcentral.
UACGGAGGAUCCGAGCGUUAUCCGGAAUUAUUGGGUUUAAAGGGUGCGUAGGCGGCCAUUUAAGUCAGCGGUGAAAUUUUGCAGCUUAACUGUAACAGUGCCGUUGAUACUGUUUGGCUAGGAUUUGGUUGUAGUGUGCGGAAUGUGUGGUGUAGCGGUGAAAUGCUUAGAUAUCACACAGAACACCGAUUGCGAAGGCAGCACACUAAGUCAUUAUCGACGCUGAGGCACGAAAGUGUGGGGAUCAAACAGGAUUAGAUA